GACCUCAAAUCAGGUAGGAACACCCGCUGAACUUAAGCAUAUCAAUAAGCGGAGGAAAAGAAAAUAACAAUGAUUCCCCUAGUAACUGCGAGUGAAGAGGGACAAGCUCAAAUUUUAAAUCUGUUAGGUUCUACCUGACCGAGUUGUAAUUUGAAGAGGCGUUUUCUGUGGUUCUGAUCAGUCCAAGUCCUUUGGGAUAAGGCAUCGCGGAGGGUGAGAAUCCCGUUCGGUUGAUCAGGUCACUUUACGAUACGUCAUCAAAGAGUCAAGUUGUUUGGGAUUGCAGCUUAAAAUGGGAGGUAAAUUUCUCCUAAGGCUAAAUAACGGCGAGAGACCGAUAGCGAACAAGUACCGUGAGGGAAAGAUGAAAAGAACUUUGAAAAGAGAGUUAAACAGUACGUGAAAUUGUUGAAAGGGAAACGAUUAAAGCCAGUCGUACCGGCGGGUAAUCAGCCUUUUGGGUGUGAUUAUGUGGAACGUGAGGAGUUUAAUCGCCUUCAUGCCUGCAUAUUCGUGCACUUUGGGUGUACUUGCUCGUGUUGGUAGGUUAACAUCAAUUUCGAUCAUCAUAAAAUGAUUGGGGGAAUGUAGCUUCGAUCUCGUAUUGAAGUGUUAUAGACUCUGGUAGAUGUGAUGAUUGGGAUUGAGGAUUGCAACGGAUACCCUUCGGGGCUACCCGUCUGAUCUCUGAGAGUUACUCUGGUGCUGAAAGCGUGCUUACGGUAUCAAAGUUGACGUUCAAUAGGUUAGAACGGGUUAAAUUCGUUAAGGAUGUUGACGUAAUGGCUUUAAACGACCCGUCUUGAAACACGGACCA
This 817-nucleotide ribosomal RNA is filed under the name Rhizophagus sp. MUCL 46100. RNAcentral describes it as "eukaryotic LSU rRNA". It matches the Rfam family "Eukaryotic large subunit ribosomal RNA", at positions 1 to 668 of the family's 3401-position model. The record is from RNAcentral. Lineage: Eukaryota; Fungi; Glomeromycota; Glomeromycetes; Glomerales; Glomeraceae.